UACGUAGGUGGCAAGCGUUGUCCGGAUUUACUGGGCGUAAAGGGCGUGCAGGCGGUCUGUUAAGUGCAGGGUGAAAGCUCCCGGCUCAACUGGGAGAGGUCCUUGCAUACUGGCGGACUUGAGGGGGGUAGAGGAAAGUGGAAUUCCUGGUGUAGCGGUGAAAUGCGUAGAUAUCAGGAGGAACACCUGUGGCGAAAGCGGCUCACUGGACCAUAACUGACGCUGAUGCACGAAAGCUAGGGGAGCAAACAGG
RNAcentral lists this ribosomal RNA (253 nucleotides) under uncultured bacterium. RNAcentral's name for it is "partial 16S ribosomal RNA". It matches the Rfam family "Bacterial small subunit ribosomal RNA", at positions 524 to 776 of the family's 1533-position model. The record is from RNAcentral.